RNAcentral lists this unclassified non-coding RNA (180 nucleotides) under Dominikia disticha. RNAcentral describes it as "partial internal transcribed spacer region". The stretch from base 1 to 46 matches the Rfam family "Eukaryotic small subunit ribosomal RNA", at positions 1786 to 1831 of the family's 1831-position model. Lineage: Eukaryota; Fungi; Glomeromycota; Glomeromycetes; Glomerales; Glomeraceae. The record is from RNAcentral. RNAcentral also lists the same sequence under 1 other name.
AAGUCGUAACAAGGUUUCCGUAGGUGAACCUGCGGAAGGAUCAUUAAUGAUUUGGCGAACCGAGCGUUAGCGAGGUUUUGCGAUCAACUUGUAUUUAAAACCCAACUCUUUAUAAUAUUUAUACAUAAUUUUAAUGAUUAAAAUUAAAGAUCACUUUCAACAACGGAUCUCUUGGCUCUC